RNAcentral lists this long non-coding RNA (259 nucleotides) under Mytilus galloprovincialis (Mediterranean mussel). The record is from RNAcentral. Lineage: Eukaryota; Metazoa; Mollusca; Bivalvia; Mytilida; Mytilidae.
GCGCCGAUUUUGAAAAUUUUCAUUCAUUCAUUUGCGCCGAUUUCAUUUUUUCAUUUGCGCCGAUUUUAUAUUUUUUCCUAAUUGGAUUUACAGGUAAGUUACAGGUAAAAUCAUACUUUUACAUUGACUGAUCACAGAGUAUAAAGACAAAUCAAGUGACAUUGCAAUUGGUAAAUGGCUAUCCCAAUGUUUCGGGUAACCAUUCCUUUUCCUAAAUGAAAUCGAUGACUGCUUCACAUUUCACAUUGUCUGACACUCC